This 298-nucleotide signal recognition particle RNA is filed under the name Phascolarctos cinereus (koala). Its description in RNAcentral is "Metazoan signal recognition particle RNA (ENSPCIG00000025004.2)". It matches the Rfam family "Metazoan signal recognition particle RNA". From Rfam's summary of the family: The signal recognition particle (SRP) is a universally conserved ribonucleoprotein. It is involved in the co-translational targeting of proteins to membranes. The eukaryotic SRP consists of a 300-nucleotide 7S RNA and six proteins: SRPs 72, 68, 54, 19, 14, and 9. Lineage: Eukaryota; Metazoa; Chordata; Mammalia; Diprotodontia; Phascolarctidae. The record is from RNAcentral.
UCUGGGCAGAGAGAUAUAUACCUGUAAUCCCUCUGACUGGGGAGGCUGAGACUGGUGGAUUGUUUGUAUUCAGGAGUUCUGAGCUAUUGUAGGUUAAAGUCGAUUAGGUGUCCAGACUAAGACCUAUCAAUCUGGAGAGCCCCUGGAGUGUGGCAUCAUCAAAUUGCCUAAAGAGGAGCAAAUUGGCCCAAGUCAGAAACACAGCAAGUCAACAUUCCCCUGCCUGUCAUCAGUGGGAUUGGGCCUGUGAACUGUCUCUCAGAUUACAGUCUGGGCAAGAUCAAGAGAUCCUGCCUCA